AGCAGCCGCGGUAAUUCCAGCUCCAAUAGCGUAUAUUAAAGUUGUUGCAGUUAAAAGCUCGUAGUUGAAUUUCGGGAUUGGCGCAUCGGUCGUGCCUCACGGGGUAUGAACUGGUGCAGUCAAUUUCUCACCUUCUGGAGAACCGCGAUGUCCUUAAUUGGAUGCCGCGGGGAACCAGGACCUUUACUUUGAAAAAAUUAGAGUGUUUAAAGCAGGCAUUUUUGCUUGAAUACAUUAGCAUGGAAUAAUAAAAUAGGACGGCAUGGUUCUAUUUUGUUGGUUUCUAGGACCACCGUAAUGAUUAAUAGGGAUAGUUGGGGGCAUUAGUAUUCAAUUGUCAGAGGUGAAAUUCUUGGAUUUAUUGAAGACUAACUACUGCGAAAGCAUUUGCCAAGGAUGUUUUCAUUAAUCAAGAACGAAAGUUAGGGGAUCGAAGACGAUCAGAUACCGUCGUAGUCUUAACCAUAAACUAUGCCGACUAGGAAUCAGACGAUGUUAAUUUUUUAAUGACUCGUUUGGC
This 520-nucleotide unclassified non-coding RNA is filed under the name uncultured Entrophospora. Its description in RNAcentral is "SSU rRNA". It matches the Rfam family "Eukaryotic small subunit ribosomal RNA", at positions 569 to 1084 of the family's 1831-position model. The record is from RNAcentral. Lineage: Eukaryota; Fungi; Glomeromycota; Glomeromycetes; Entrophosporales; Entrophosporaceae.